UCCGGCCUACGGGGGGCAGCAGUAGGGAAUCUUCCACAAUGGGCGCAAGCCUGAUGGAGCAACACCGCGUGAGUGAAGAAGGGUUUCGGCUCGUAAAGCUCUGUUGUUGGAGAAGAAUGUGCGCGAGAGUAACUGUUCACGCAGUGACGGUAUCCAACCAGAAAGUCACGGCUAACUACGUGCCAGCAGCCGCGGUAAUACGUAGGUGGCAAGCGUUAUCCGGAUUUAUUGGGUGUAAAGGGUGCGGAGACGGAAGAACAAGUUGGUUGUGAAAUCCCUCGGCUCAACUGAGGAACUGCAACCAA
RNAcentral lists this ribosomal RNA (305 nucleotides) under uncultured bacterium. RNAcentral's name for it is "bacterial SSU rRNA". It matches the Rfam family "Bacterial small subunit ribosomal RNA", at positions 330 to 630 of the family's 1533-position model. The record is from RNAcentral.